This 468-nucleotide ribosomal RNA is filed under the name uncultured bacterium. RNAcentral's name for it is "partial 16S ribosomal RNA". It matches the Rfam family "Bacterial small subunit ribosomal RNA", at positions 28 to 507 of the family's 1533-position model. The record is from RNAcentral.
GACGAACGCUGGCGGCGUGCUUAACACAUGCAAGUCGAACGGAAAGGCCCUGCUUUUGUGGGGUGCUCGAGUGGCGAACGGGGGAGUAAAACGUGAGUAACCUGCCCUUGACAUUGGGAUAACUUCAGGGAACUGGGGCUCAUAUCGGAGAUGAGAUCCUGCUCCGUGGGGGGGGUUGGAAAGAUACGGCGGUUGUGGAUGGAAUAGCGGCUUACCAGCUUGUUGGUCUGGUAGUGGAUGACCAAGGCUUUGACGGGUAGCCGGCCUGAGAGGGUGACCGGCCACAUGGCGACUGAGAUAGGGCCCAGACGCCUACGGGCGGCAGCAGUGGAGAACAUUGCAGAAUGGGCGGAAGCCUGAUGCAGCAAUGCCGCGUGCGGGAUGCCCGCCUUCGGGGUGUAAACCGCUGUCUCCUGUGCUGAAGCGUGAGUGACGGUAAUGGGUAAAGAAGCACCGGCUAACUACGUG